CCUACGGGUGGCAGCAGUGGGGAAUUUUGCGCAAUGCUCGUAAGAGUGACGCAGCGACGCCGCGUGUGGGAAGACGGUCCUCUGGAUUGUAAACCACUGUCCCCAGGGACGAAGAUGACGGUACCUGGGGAGGAAGCUCCGGCUAACUACGUGCCAGCAGCCGCGGUAAUACGUAGGGAGCGAGCGUUGUCCGGAAUUACUGGGUGUAAGGGGAGCGUAGGCGGGGAUGCAAGUUGGGUGUCAAAACUACCGGCUCAACUGGUAGUCGCACUCAAAACUGCAGCUCUUGAGUGAAGUAGAGGCAGAUGGAAUUCCUAGUGUAGCGGUGAAAUGCGUAGAUAUUAGGAGGAACACCAGUGGCGAAGGCGGUCUGCUGGACAGCAACUGACGGUGAGGCGCGAAAGCGUGGGGAGCAAACAGGAUUAGAUACCCGAGUAGUC
RNAcentral lists this ribosomal RNA (440 nucleotides) under uncultured bacterium. RNAcentral describes it as "partial 16S ribosomal RNA". It matches the Rfam family "Bacterial small subunit ribosomal RNA", at positions 338 to 795 of the family's 1533-position model. The record is from RNAcentral.